AAAGUGUCAGCAGCCGCGGUAAUACAGAGGGUGCAAGCGUUAAUCGGAAUUACUGGGCGUAAAGCGAGCGUAGGUGGCUUGAUAAGUCAGAUGUGAAAGCCCCGGGCUUAACCUGGGAACGGCAUCUGAUACUGUUAGGCUAGAGUAGGUGAGAGGAAGGUAGAAUUCCAGGUGUAGCGGUGAAAUGCGUAGAGAUCUGGAGGAAUACCGAUGGCGAAGGCAGCCUUCUGGCAUCAUACUGACACUGAGGUUCGAAAGCGUGGGUAGCAAACAGGAUUAGAUACCCUGGUAGUCCACGCCGUAAACGAUGUCUACUAGUCGUUGGGUCCCUUGAGGACUUAGUGACGCAGCUAACGCAAUAAGUAGACCGCCUGGGGAGUACGGCCGCAAGG
This 392-nucleotide ribosomal RNA is filed under the name Psychrobacter sp. RNAcentral's name for it is "bacterial SSU rRNA". It matches the Rfam family "Bacterial small subunit ribosomal RNA", at positions 498 to 893 of the family's 1533-position model. The record is from RNAcentral. Lineage: Bacteria; Pseudomonadati; Pseudomonadota; Gammaproteobacteria; Moraxellales; Moraxellaceae.